Molecule: ribosomal RNA, 468 nt
Filed under: uncultured bacterium
Lineage: Bacteria
Description: partial 16S ribosomal RNA
Rfam family: Bacterial small subunit ribosomal RNA
Source: RNAcentral
GACGAACGCUGGCGGCGUGCUUAACACAUGCCAGUCGAACGGAAAGGCCCUGCUUUUGUGGGGUGCUCGAGUGGCGAACGGGUGAGUAACACGUGAGUAACCUGCCCUUGACUUUGGGAUAACUUCAGGAAACUGGGGCUAAUACCGGAUAGGAGCUCCUGCUGCAUGGUGGGGGUUGGAAAGUUUCGGCGGGUGGGGAUGGACUCGCGGCUUAUCAGCUUGUUGGUGGGGUAGUGGCUUACCAAGGCUGUGACGGGUAGCCGGCCUGAGAGGGUGACCGGCCACAUUGGGACUGAGAUACGGCCCAGACUCCUACGGGAGGCAGCAGUGGGGAAUAUUGCACAAUGGGCGGAAGCCGGAUGCAGCAACGCCGCGUUCGGGAUGACGGCCUUCGGGUUGUAAACCGCUUUCGCCUGUGACGAAGCGUGAGUGACGGUAAUGGGUAAAGAAGCACCGGCUAACUACGUG